RNAcentral lists this unclassified non-coding RNA (408 nucleotides) under soil metagenome. RNAcentral's name for it is "partial contains 5.8S ribosomal RNA, internal transcribed spacer 2, and large subunit ribosomal RNA". The stretch from base 6 to 123 matches the Rfam family "5.8S ribosomal RNA", at positions 39 to 154 of the family's 154-position model. The record is from RNAcentral.
GAUGAAAGAACGCAGCGAAAUGCGAUACUUGGUGUGAAUUGCAGAAUCCCGCGAAUCAUCGAGUCUUUGAACGCAAGUUGCGCCCGAAGCCAUUUGGUCGAGGGCACGUCUGCCUGGGUGUCACGCAUCGUUGCCCCCAACCCCAUUGCUUCUCCAAGAGACGAGGGCGGUUUGUGGGGCGGACAUUGGCCUCCCGUGAGCUUUUGAUUGCGGCUGGCCUAAAAGGGAGUCCUCGGCGACGAGCGCCACGACAAUCGGUGGUUGACAAACCCUCGUGUCCCGUCGUGCGUGCCCUGUCGCUCAUCUCGUGCUCUGUGACCCUAUAGUGUCGCGCUUGCGACUCUUCCAACGCGACCCCAGGUCAGGCGGGACUACCCGCUGAAUUUAAGCAUAUCAAUAAGCGGAGGA